Myotis lucifugus (little brown bat) is the source of this 75-nucleotide non-coding RNA. NCBI's taxonomy places the organism in Eukaryota, Metazoa, Chordata, Mammalia, Chiroptera, Vespertilionidae. The record is from Rfam.
GGCAGUUCUCAGGUGAUGCACCCUGGAAUCGGGCCCCCUCCUCUCUGGUUCCCGGUGCAUCACCUGAGAACCACA